UGUCUUCUAAAUAAAGACUAGUAUGAACGGCUAAAUGAGGACAAACCUGUCUCAUGCAACCAAUCAGUGAAAUUGAUCUUCCAGUACAAAAGCUGGGAUUAACUCAUAAGACGAGAAGACCCUGUGGAGCUUUAAACUAACCACUAACACACAAAUCCUACAAACCCUAGUGGCAAGUUUUGAGUUGGGGCGACUUCGGAAUCAACACACCUUCCGAGCUCAAAGGCAAGACCUUUCUCCAAGGCCAACAAGCCAAAGCAUACAAACGACCCAGUUACACUGAUCAACGAACCAAGUUACCCCAGGGAUAACAGCGCCAUCUUCUUCAAGAGUCCAUAUCGACAAGAAGGUUUACGACCUCGAUGUUGGAUCAGGACACCCAAAUGGUGCAGCCGCUAUUAUAGGUUCGUUUGUUCAACGAUUAACAGU
Molecule: ribosomal RNA, 429 nt
Filed under: Lamprolepis smaragdina
Lineage: Eukaryota; Metazoa; Chordata; Lepidosauria; Squamata; Scincidae
Description: partial 16S rRNA
Rfam family: Bacterial large subunit ribosomal RNA
Source: RNAcentral